CACGGGAGGAGCCAGGAUUCCAGCAGGGCAAUCUCAGGAGAGAUCAUGCUGCCACCUCUAGUUGCUUCUACUUCAGUGCCAAGCCAAACAAACCCUUACAAGAAAAAAUCUUCUCAGAAGGUGAACUAUGAUCAUUUGGAGGCAUUAUGCAGUAUCAAUGGGCUACAAAAUAGCAUCCAGGCUCUGCCACCGUGUUACACAGGAUACUGGACAAGAUGGAUCUAUUGUCUGGCCCAGUGAAUGGCAGUUCUUAUGGUACCUAAACUGGGUCACUUACACUACACAAUGUAAAGCUACCUCUAAACAUACUUAUAGAUUUUAAGCUCUUUAGAACUCUUUAAGCUCUUUAGGACAAAUUUGCAAAUGAUGUUGGGACAACACAAGCAACAUUUUUUGUACAUUUUUCUAGCUUUACUAAUUAUAAAUCCUGCACAUCAUGUAUAUGCAAACUGGUCUUGAUGAAGACUACCUUGCAUAUGAAAGUGUAUCUAAUUUUAUCCCAGCCAUGCAGUUGGCCCAAUAAAUGAUAACACUCAAAAAAUCCUUGGCUCUUGAAUUGUACUGUCAGUCUAUUUGUCCUGUAUCAUGUAUUUCAGUUGAAGAUGUAGUAAAACUGUGCCAACACUUUUGUAAAAUUCUGAUUUACA
This is a long non-coding RNA of Alligator mississippiensis (American alligator), 647 nucleotides long. RefSeq lists it as uncharacterized. The record is from RefSeq and is a predicted model, not a curated record. The transcript is spliced from 3 exons. NCBI's taxonomy places the organism in Eukaryota, Metazoa, Chordata, Crocodylia, Alligatoridae.